RNAcentral lists this ribosomal RNA (497 nucleotides) under uncultured bacterium. RNAcentral describes it as "partial 16S ribosomal RNA". It matches the Rfam family "Bacterial small subunit ribosomal RNA", at positions 28 to 507 of the family's 1533-position model. The record is from RNAcentral.
GAUGAACGCUGGCGGCGUGCCUAAUACAUGCAAGUCGAGCGAACAGACGAGGAGCUUGCUCCUCUGACGUUAGCGGCGGACGGGUGAGUAACACGUGGAUAACCUACUUCUAAUACUGGGAUAACUUCGGGAAACCGGAUCUAAUACCGGAGAAUAUAUUGAACCGCAUGGUUCAAUAGUGAAUGACGGUUUUGCUGUCACUUAUAGAUGGAUCCGCGCCGCAUUAGCUAGUUGGUAAGGUAACGGCUUACCAAGGCAACGAUGCGUAGCCGAGCUGAGAGGGUGAUCGGCCACACUGGAACUGAGACACGGUCCAGACUCCUACGGGAGGCAGCAGUGGGGAAUCUUCGGCAAUGGGCGAAAGCCUGACGGAGCAACGCCGCGUGGGUGAUGAAGGUCUUCGGAUCGUAAAGCUCUGUUAUUGGGGAAGAACAGAUGUGUAAGUAACUAUGCACGUCUUGACGGUACCUAAUCAGAAAGCCACGGCUAACUACGUG